UGCAACUAGAUGGAACUGCUUGGAUGUUACU
This 31-nucleotide non-coding RNA is filed under the name Mus musculus (house mouse). The record is from RNAcentral. Lineage: Eukaryota; Metazoa; Chordata; Mammalia; Rodentia; Muridae.